GGUGGCUCAAUGGUAGAGUGCUUGCCUUGCAUGCAUGAGGUCCUGGGUUCGAUUCCCCAGCACCA
RNAcentral lists this transfer RNA (65 nucleotides) under Dipodomys ordii (Ord's kangaroo rat). It matches the Rfam family "tRNA". Rfam says of the family: Transfer RNA (tRNA) molecules are approximately 80 nucleotides in length. The record is from Rfam by way of RNAcentral. Lineage: Eukaryota; Metazoa; Chordata; Mammalia; Rodentia; Heteromyidae.